CGUGCCUAAUACAUGCAAGUAGAACGCUGAAGCUUGGUGCUUGCACCGAGCGGAUGAGUUGCGAACGGGUGAGUAACGCGUAGGUAACCUGCCUCUUAGCGGGGGAUAACUAUUGGAAACGAUAGCUAAUACCGCAUAAAAGUCGACAUCGCAUGAUGUUGACUUGAAAGGUGCAAUUGCAUCACUAAGAGAUGGACCUGCGUUGUAUUAGCUAGUUGGUGAGGUAACGGCUCACCAAGGCGACGAUACAUAGCCGACCUGAGAGGGUGAUCGGCCACACUGGGACUGAGACACGGCCCAGACUCCUACGGGAGGCAGCAGUAGGGAAUCUUCGGCAAUGGGGGCAACCCUGACCGAGCAACGCCGCGUGAGUGAAGAAGGUUUUCGGAUCGUAAAGCUCUGUUGUAAGAGAAGAACGAGUGUGAGAGUGGAAAGUUCACACUGUGACGGUAACUUACCAGAAAGGGACGGCUAACUACGUGCCAGCAGCCGCGGUAAUACGUAGGUCCCGAGCGUUAUCCGGAUUUAUUGGGCGUAAAGCGAGCGCAGGCGGUUAGAUAAGUCUGAAGUUAAAGGCUGUGGCUUAACCAUAGUACGCUUUGGAAACUGUUUAACUUGAGUGCAGAAGGGGAGAGUGGAAUUCCAUGUGUAGCGGUGAAAUGCGUCGAUAUAUGGAGGAACACCGGUG
This 688-nucleotide ribosomal RNA is filed under the name uncultured Bacilli bacterium. RNAcentral's name for it is "bacterial SSU rRNA". It matches the Rfam family "Bacterial small subunit ribosomal RNA", at positions 43 to 714 of the family's 1533-position model. Lineage: Bacteria; Bacillati; Bacillota; Bacilli. The record is from RNAcentral.